UUCUGACGUGUGCUCUUCCGAUCUGUUCGUGUCAGCCCCCUGCUUAUAACCUUUUAAGAGUUUUCAGUAGGCUUCCCACAGCCCUUCUCCCUCCCUUUUUAGCCUCACCUCCUGCUGCCCCCAAACCCCUGCCAUUGGCCCUUUAUGUCAGGAAAGCUGAGCCCCUGCACUGAGGUGAGACCCACCUUCUGCUUUUGCUUUUGUAGAUACUCCUUUUACCUGAUGUCUCCCCCCAUCGUCCAUGUGCUAAACUCCUACUCAUUAUCCACUAUCCAACUAGGCCAUCUUCUCUUCCAUGAAGCCUUUCUUCACCCUCCUGAACAAAGUUAUCCUUCGUCUUUCGAUCUCCCUGCUGAAUUUCUCUUUAAAAACAAUCAAAUAUGUCAAUAUUCUUGUAUUUCUGUUAUCAGUUAUUGUGUGUGUCUCUCCCCUACUAAGAUGAAUAAAUUCUUUAAAGGCCAGAGGCUGAAGCUUUCUCAUCCUUUUAUCCUACCAUAGUGCCUAGCACAUCACAUGGAUUCAGGAAAGGUUUGUGCAUGGAAAUUAGAAUUAAUCAGUGACCUUGCUAUUUGGACUAAGUACUGAGAAUUCAACAUUGAAAGGAAUAGCGUGCCAUUUGAAAAGAGAAGGGGCGAAAACAGGUGGUAUCUGGGUUGGUGAUGGGUAUUUAGGAGGGCACCUGUUGGGAUGAGCACUGGGUGUUGUAUGGAAACCAAUUUGACAAUAAAUUUCAUAUUAAAAUAAAUAAAUAUAUAUAUAUUAAAAAAUUAAUGAAAAUAAUAACAAAAAGAGAAGGGGCAACGCACAGUUGUAUCAGAUGAAAUUACUGUCUUCGUUGAUAUAUGCUUUGUUUUGUAUGUGUCCAGGAAGAUAAUGCAGGGUUUCGAGAAGUGGAAGGAGGUUAAGGAGAAAUUAUACUUACUGGCAUUUUCCCCAAAACAUAUGCCUGUGGUGAUAAGUGGUUAAUAAGUUAUUGAAUGCCAUUUUCUCUACUUCUAGUCAAAACCAUACACGGGUUUAUUUUUAUUCAUUGUGCUAGGUCCUCAGUGGAUCCUUUCAGUCUCAAAAUUCAAGUCAUUAAGUUCCGCAAAAUUUCCUUCAGUUAUUUCACUGAUGAUUUCUUCUUUACUUUCUCUCAUCUCUCUUUUGGGACUACUGUUAUUUAGCAUGAGAUUUCCUGCACUUACCAUUGUUAUCUCUUCUCUUGAGCUUUCUAUCUCUUUUUAUUCUACCCGCUGAGAGAUUCCCUUAACUCUGCACACCUUCCCCUUCUGUUUUUCAUCUUUCAUAUUCUGCUUUCAUAUUUUAAAUUUCUAGCAGCUCCUUUCCUCUGAGUAGCAUCCUGUUACGUGUGUAGCAUCUUCUCUUGCCUGAGCGUAUUAAUGAUUUAAAAAGUGUUUAUUCUUAUUUUGGUUUUUGUUUGCUCUUGAUACGUCAUUUGCGUUAGAGGCUUCUCUUGCGAGUUUGGCAAUACUUGAUUGCAUAUUUAUUUUUAAGAGGAGAGGACUAGAAAACAUUGGAAGCUUUUAGUGUGUGGAUAGAGGUUGUCAAUGCUGCUGGGGUUUACUGUAGGGUAAUUUGGGCUUUUUUCAUUGGGGAAUACCUAAUGUCAUUCCACAUAAGUCUUUCCUCUUGGGCUUGUCGAGAAUCUUGCAGUUAUCCAGCUGUAAAGUACAAGCCUGUAAAGUAUUUACCUGUAUCCUGGAGGCAGAUGGUGGGGAGGACAACUAGAGAUCUCAGCAUUUAAUCUGCAUGUGUUCACAUAAUCACCUUGUUUUUCAAUACAGUGCCUUGGUCCUUGAUUGUGCUAAUGUUUCCCUUUCCGAAGAAUAAAAUUCUGGUUGAUUUGCUUGUGUGUGAGAGUGGUUGUUGCCUGGCUCUGUGGAGUUGGGAGGGGAUCUGGAAAUAGAAUUGUCCUAUAGAUUUUCAGCCAGUCUUCCUGUUCGUUUUUUGUUGUUGUUGUUGUUGUUUUUAGUUGAGAUAUAAUUGUCAUGAAGCAAUGGAUUACUUUUAGAUGCACAAAUAACGACCCAGUAUUUGUAUACAUUGCAAAAUUAUCACCUAGUGUUCUGUUUUAACCCCAAUUUUGCUACCACUUCAAGAAUACAUGGGGUCGCCAGUUCCUGAGCUUUAUGGCGGUUACGGAAGUAUAGUUCAGAUUGCUUCUCAUUGUCCCUCUGCUCGCUUACAACUCAGUAAGUCUGCUAAGCUCUUUACCACUUGUUUAUCCUCUUUUCGGUUUCCAAAAUUUUGUUGUUAUUAUAUCCUCCCUUAUUGUCUGCCUUUCUUUUAUUUAUACAUAAAUGCAGUACAUACAGGGAACAUCAAUUUAAAACGUUACUGUCUUCUCAUUAGAAACAAUGGAAGCAUAAAGAUAGAAAAUCUCACUACCGACAUGUUACUGGAGUUUCAGAAGGUUGCAGAAGUAAAUGUACCUGUUCAGUAUGCCAAUUUAACUCACAAGUCCCCAAACUAAAUUUUUAGUGGAGAGGGAAGGUUUUUUUUUUUAAAGGUGUAAGAAAACAGUGAAUUUUAAAAUAUUCUCUUCAUUUUAACCAAAUCCAAUCUGAUUUUACUGCAUUUCAAACAUUAGAAAGAAUGAGAUUGGAAUAUAACCAGUGAAUGUCCCAAAGCCACAACCAGACUUUCCUGGAUAUUUGUCUUUUCCUGGUCAAGAAUUAAAGUCCACAGAGUCACUGAAUUUAGAGAUCAGAGACACCUCUUCUAAUUUCCAGCCUUUCUAUACGUUUCCUUAAGACAGUCUUCAUGCUUCUGAAAACUAAUUGACAGGAAAUCUGGUACCUUCUGAGACAGUUCAUAUAUUUAGACUGUUUGUGAAGGAAGGGAAGGAAGUGGAUGGUUGGUUUGGACUCCCUAUAAUGUUUAGCUAUAAUAUACAUGCUAUAAAAAAAAAUAAACUAUCUUCGGAGCAGCAUUAUUCCAUAUUCAUGGGCUUUAAGUUAGGUAGGCCAGAGUUUUCUUUGUUGUAAUUAUUGUGUAACCUUUAGGAAUUACUUACCCUCUGAACCUGUAUUUUCAUCUGUGAAGCAAAGAUAAUAAUACUUCGAGGGUUAAUAAACUUUAAACACAAUACAGUAUAGAAGAACCUGGCAAAGAGCUUAGCACGGGGAGGCUGAUCAUUACAUGGUACCCAUUAUCCUUCUUACAGAUUCAACCAGGGAACAUUUUUCAGUGGACAGCAUUUGGACUAAACCUGAAGAGGGGGUAAGAUUUUAACAGAAAAGCCCGAGCUGGAAGGGACUAGGUUAGACCUUCCAGACUGAUGGAUUAAGCAUGACAAAGACAUAGCUAUGUCAAAGAAUCAAAGUCUGAAGGUUUAUGUAAGGACUGGCAAGUAUUUCUAGGUGUCUGGGUUACGAGGCAUACGAAAUGAUAUAGCAUAAUGUGGCUUAGGCUGAAAGGCUUUGACAUAGGGCAUCUUAGCCAAAAGGAAAAAAAGUUGAUGUUCUCACAUAUUGCAUCAUUCAGUGAGACAGACAAACCUAAGAACCACUGGGGAGUCCAGAAUGCCUUCUCUGUGAAAGCUUACUUAAUACGGCUUUUUAUUUAUUUAUUUAUUUUUAAUUUUUUAAUGUUUAUUUAUUUUUGAGACAGAGAGAGACAGAGCACGAGCGGAGGAGGGUCAGAGAGAGAGGGAGACACAGAAUCUGAAACAGGCUCCAGGCUCUGAGCGGUCAGCACAGAGCCCGACGCGGGGCUCGAACUCACGGACCGCGAGAUUGUGACCUGAGCUGAAGUCGGUCGCUUAACCGACUGAGCCACCCAGGCGCCCCUUAAUACGGCUUUUUAACAACUUGAUCAGAUAGAGACCAAAAUUGUAAUGAGGGUUAUUGGUAAACCUAAAACAUGUUUGUUAUAUACACAGUUAUUCUAGACAAGUCAAAAAUGUAAGAAUAUGUCCAAGGGAAGAAGAUAUCUGUCUUUGUAUUUGAAAGGCUGUCGAGGGGAAGAAGGAAUAAAAUUAAACCUUGCUGAUGGAUUAAGUUAAUACAAACAGAUAGAAAUCAGAAAGCGGACAUUUUUAGCUCAUGUGAAAAAUCCUGAUUUUUAACAGAACUGUGCGACAUUGGAAUGAAAAGCUUGGGGAGGAAUUAAGUAUCUAGUCAUGACGGGCUGGAUGAUUGUCAAGGAUGCUAUAGAAAACAGAUCUGUUUUGUGAAAAGGUAAAAGCAAGUGCCUUCCAAGGUUACGCCCUACUCCAUAUUAACCAGGGCUCUUGCUGUCCAUCCAGAUGCACACCCUCAGGCUCUGCCCAGAACACCCUGUUCCACAAAUGAGGACUGUUUGAGGAUUGUUAUAAAAACCCUGAGGCAGUCCCUUCCUGGAGUCAACAGUUUCAGCUGUUUCAUAGACCUCCAGCAGCUUUCGCUAGGACAGGCUCUUCCUGGUGCCUUUCCUAGGACUUCUCCACAGUUCUGUUGAACACAGUGAGACAGUCUUCAAAUGAUGCUGCUCCAUGGACCUCAACGACAUCCUCCCUGAACAGGAGCCUCCAGACACCUUGAGACGGGGCUUGCCAGCCCCUUACAAGCCCCUAGCAGCCAUAGAUCUCUUUCCUUCUCUCUAUCUUACCUGAAACCUACAAUCCCUUCCAUUGGAUCCUUGUUUUCUGACACUCCACAGGUAAUGAAGGUGGAGGGAGGGAUGGGUAGAUUUCUCCAGACCCUUACUUUUCCCUCCUUAUGUGAAACCAUCAGCCUUUGAAGCCUUUUAAAUAUUCAACUCUCUCUCACAGCAAAUCACUGCCGUCUGACACACUGGUUACUUCUUUGGAGCAUUCAGAAUUUGCAACCUUGCCAACAGUCUUUCUUUGUAGGAAGGAAGUAACCCUGCCUUACUCUAGUCUCAUCCUUGUCUUUCCUGUGCCAGACUGCUUGCUGUUGUUCCCCAUUUUGCUUUUGCUCCUGGGCUUUUCCACAUGCAGUUUCCUCUGUUUGGAAUACUGUUUCCCCACCCUUUCGCCUAAUAAAACCCAACAUGUACUUUGUAGCCAGAUAGGUUACCACUCCCUGGCCACACACCCCUGUCUCUCCUAGACUUAGUUAGAUGUCCCUCCUCUGUGUUCCUAUCAUUUUCUCUGAUGUGAUUAUUUUUUAAUAUAAUUAUGUUUCUGAUUUUUAAAUGUCUUUGCCAUUAUAUUAUGAUUACUUUAAAAGGAGAAACUGCUUCCUCUUUAUUUUGUGACUUACCCAUGGCCUAGCACAUAGGUGUUCAGUAUCUACUGACUGAAUGAAUAUAUGAUUUCACCUGCUUGUCUUCUUUGUACCUGUACAAGACUGAAGGUGGAACAGAAAGGAAUAAACUUGGUGCUGUUACUAAAGCUAGUUUAUUUUUAGCUCAAAUUCUGUUUGAAACGUACAUAUGUGUGUGUGUGACAUAUGUGUGUGUAUCUAUACACACACACACACAUAUGUCACACACACACCCACACUGAUGAACUUAGGUUCAGAAUGUAAGGCUGCCUUUUACCUCUUAUGGUUUUAUGCCUUCUAUUUGAUAACGCUACCACUGUCAUCCGUCUUUUGUUUUUCUGUCAAUGUUCUUUUUUUUAUUUUUUUCAACAUUUAUUUAUUUUUGAGAAGAGAGAGACAGAGCAUGAGUGGGGGAGGAGAGAGGAAGAGGGAGACACAGAAUCUGAAACAGGCUCCAGGCUCUGAGCUGUCAGCACAGAGCCCGACGCGGGGCUCGAACUCACGGACCGCGAGAUUGCGACCUGAGCCGAAGUGGGACUCUAAACCGACUGGGCCACCCAGGCUCCCCACAGUUUUCUGAUCCCCUUACUUUGAUCUCCUCUCAUCCACAGAAUUUUAGCAUUUCUUACCUUCAAAAUGCUAUGGCUGUAUUUUUUUUUUUACCAUGGAUGUGUUCUUUCUGGUGAGUCUUGUCUUUUGAGGUUAUAGCAUGUCACAUUAAAAUGUGUCAGAUUCAGAUGAGACCAAAAAUAGCAUAUAGCCUUAAGUAAGGGAAGUUAGAAAGAAAAAUUAGUAAUGAAUGAAGUAGAAAAGUGAGGUAUAGCAGUAAUGGUUUAGUGUAAAAAACAGUAGUGUUCUUAGGAAUAACCAUUAAGGAAAAAGGACAAGGACUACUAAUUCCAAGAUGCUUAUAGCUCAUAGACUAUGCUGGGAGUUUUAUAUACAUUAUUUUGUUUUCAUCCAUACAAUAACCCUAUGAAGCAAAUGUUGUGAGGGGCAUUAUGUAGAUGAGGAACCAAAGGUUCAGAGGAGUUAAGUGAGUUCACACAGGUAUUCCAACACAAGAUUCUCACUUUUUGACCACCUCCUAUGCCAGUCCAUGUAUUUUAAAUUGGCUUUUUAUUAGAUUAUUUUUGACUGUAAAAUUUUGGAAGUUAGCUAGGAAGUUAACACAAAAGUGGCAGUUUGAAGAUAGACGUUCAUUUUGUUUAAUAGCCUUGGCAUAGACCUUGGAACAGCUAAUUGAUUUGAUGGGGUGGUUUUGUGUCAUAACCUUUUCAAAGAUUAAUAGUGCCAGAAACUAAUAUUUAAAUAGCAAAUGGAGCUCUCAUUUAGCAAACCUCUUGAUGGAAAUGUUAACACAGUCUAAAAUCUGUGCUGAUUUUUUGGACCCCCCAAUAAAGUUGUCCAAAAUUGUUCAUUUGCUGAUGCCUGUUUAGAUGAUUAACACAUUAUAUAAACUUUACUUCCCGUGCACUUUGUUGAGGAAAAAAUUUGCGUUCCUGCUGUAUUAUGAGAAAUUAAAUAAAACAGUUCCUUGGCGAGUCUGUUCCUCGGCCACCAACCCCAACCCUGCAACCCCAUAUAUUCAUCUAACCCACUUCCCCGCCUCCAGGGUUUCCUUAGGUUCUUCCUUCUGUUUCCACUGGCUUGCCUCCUUUCCUCCUAUUUAGUGCCCAGCUGGGCUCAGCUCACUCUCUGUCAGAUUAUGGCAUAGGUCCCAACACUUCAAGAAAGAUUUUCCCACAGAGAUUUCUUUAUAAGUCAAAUAGGCAAAUACAGAUGUCCCUCCCCACCCCCCACCCCCCCCCCCCCAGCAAUUUGCAGCUCAAUCCUCCAAAAAAAGUUUAUCAAUUACCAUGCAUCUGGCGUUGUUAGCUGCUGGGCAUUUAAUGAUAAAUAAGAUACAUCUCUACCUUUAAAGAGUUUACAGUCUUGUAAAUAUUGUUUUGGAUCUGUGGGCGUAAAUGAUUUAAUCUCUGUGUGCCUCAGUUUCUUCAUCUAUAAUAUAAAGAUGAUAAUAGCUGCUUUGGUAGGGUGCUUAUACUGAGUUAGUAUUUAUAAAGUACUUAAGGUAGGGCCUAACGAAUAGAAAAUACUAUAGAAGUGGUUUUUUAUUUACCAAAACAAAACUGAACAUUGCGGUCACUUUAUCUAGUUCUAAAAUAUCCUACUGGUAUUUUUACGGGUAUCAUAAUAAAUUUAUAGAUUAGAGUGAAAUGUCAUCUUUAUAAUAACAUCUUCCUAUUGGAGAACAGGGUGAGUUUACAUUUAUUGGGAUCUUCUUUUGCAUCUCUUAAUAGAAUAUAAUAGUUUUCUUCAUAUGGAUCUUGCUAUUCUGGUUAUGUUUAUUUCUAGAUAGUUUAUCUUUGUUGCUAUUUAAAAUGGCACCAUGUAAUAUUUUAAUUGAUUGUUAUUUAUAUAAAAGAAGACUUCUGAUUUUUGUUUUUAAAUUUUCUACCGAAUUACCUUAUAGUCUGUGAUGAGUUUUCAGUUGGUUUGCUUGGAUUGUCUUGAUGUAUAAUCAUAUAUCAUCUCUAAAAAAUGAUCAUUUUGCCGUUCCCCCCCCCCACAUUUUUAUAACUCGUAACUCUUUCUCUGACUUAAUUUGUGCUAACUAUGAUGGUAGUGAACAUGCUUGUCUUACUUAUAUUGUGGUUCUUGACUCGUGACCGUUAUACUUGAAAAAGAUUAUUUUAUACUUGAAAAAGAUUAUUAUAUACAAUGUGUUGUAUUUUCCCAGCUUGAUAAACAAGGUCACUUACUGCUGUGCUUUGCUUUAACCACCAAAGAUUUUGUCCUGUUCUGAACUUGUCAUUCAUGUGUUUUCAGUUAUUCAGUCUGUCUUCUAUAAAUUUGAACAUCCAGAUUUGGCUCUUAGCCUGACAGAAUCUUGCAGAAUAUUUUAGAGAAGCAGUAUCUCUGGAGAACAAAAACUCAGACUCCCCAAAAUAGAUAAAGUUGGAGAUGAUUCUUCAGCGUCUCUAACCCCUUCUCCUGAGCACUUAAAUUAGCCCUUAGAGAAGUAUGUCCCAGCAUGUGUUUAAUGUUCAAAAUAUUAUUUGCUAACUAAAAACCUCUGUGCCCUUGUAUAGAGCUAUCCCCUUUGUGCUGACACAUAGCAGACAUACAGAAAUGUUGUCUGUCAAGGAACUAACUGCCCAGGCUGCAUUACCCCCAUGAAUCCAUUUCAGAUAUCUUCAGGUAAAAGGUAGAAGUCAUCUUUUUCACGUUUUUUUAGUUUUCUGUUGCUUCAUAACAAAUCACCACAAAUGUAGCAGCUUAAACCCCAUGCAUUUUUAUCUCAAAGUUCUCUAGGUCAGAAGUCUGGGUGGGCUCAUCUGGUUUCUCUGCUCAGGGUCUCAAGCCAGAAUCAAGGUGUUGGUCAGGCUGGGCUCUUAUCUGAAAGCUCUUGGGAAUAAUCCACUUCCAAGCUCAUUUAAAUUGUUGGCAGAAUCCAGUUGCUUGCAGCUGUAGGUCUGAAGUUUACAUUUGCUUGCUGGCUUUUAGCCAGGGGCCAGCCUUUGCUCCUAGAGGCCUCCUGCAUUCCUUCUUACAUGACCCCUCCAUUUUCAGACCAAUAAUGUCCCGUCAAGCCCUUCUCACAGUUCAGAUCUUUCAGAACGUUCUCUUCUGUUGCCAGCCAGAGAAAACGUUCUCCUUUUAAAGGCCUCGUGUGAUUAGAUUAGGCCUAUCCAGAUGAUCUCCCUUUGCCAUAGACAUAAAAUAAUCAGGGGAGUAAUAACACCAGGGAACGAAGGUCUUGGUGACCAUCUUAAAAUUGUGACUACUACCCAACUCUUCAAACUCUCAUCGAAGGUUGUCCUUUCCUUCUAUGUGCAUGUAAAAAGGUAACCUCCUUAAAGGGAGCAUCCAUGGCUGAGGCAUUUCGUGACACCCCGUCAUACUUUGCACACCUUGCCUGCAGUGGACAUUCAGUACAUGUAUGGCGGAUGAAUUGUUUUUCAUUCAAUGACUUGGUGAGAUCAAAGGUGAAUAAAUUUAUUCCAGACCAAAUUGUAAGAGGAUCUGCCCGGUUCGAGGAGCAGCGUGACUUGACAGUUCAUUGCCAUUUUGGUUUUGUUUUUCCUUUUUUGAAACUACAUUUAUUUAUGAUCGACCGGAGAGACUAAACAGUGGACACAUGGGCUUUAGACGCCAGUGCUAUUCAUGUGAGGUCAGAAGAAUUGCAUGAAAAAAACAUGAAGGACAUGAAGUGGAUGUUAUAGUAAAAUUAAUAUUUUAAGGGAAAAAAAUCAUUAGUGAGAGAAAGGAGCGUUCUGGAAAACUGUGUUCCAUUUAGGGCACCUCGUUACCAGAUUCUUUAAGGGAAACUGGAGGGAGUUCAGAGACGUAAAGAAUGAUGAAGAGGCUGUAGGGAUUAACUUACAAGCAAAGAUUUUAGAAGACUAAAUAUGUAGAGCUUAGCUGAACAACAGCUGAGUCGAGAUGUAGCUGUUGUCAAAUGUCUGAUAUCAAGAGAAGGAAUGUGUUUCUCUGAAGAGCUGAGAGUCUCUUUCUAAGUAUUGGAAUCAAAUCACGAAUGGGAAAAUCUUUUCUCACCAACGUGUAAGCAGUAUUUAGACUGGGUGCUGGGAUGUAAAGUUGAAUUCAGUUGAAUUCAAAUCCCGGCUCUUCUGCUUGCGUAGCUGUGAAGUUGCAGGCAGCUCCUUUAACCUUUUAAACUCUGUCAUGUGUGCAGUGGAAAUUAUACCACCUACCUAUCUCAUGGGGUUAUUAUGAAGGUUAAAUGAAAUGACUUAAGUAAACAGUCAAGUUCCAUGCCUGGCACAGAUUGUAGGUUGAGAAGGACUGUAGAUGCUAUUGGUAUUACCCUUAUCAUCAUCACUCUGAAGUGGUUAAGAGUUCAAAGGGCGAGGGUCAGACAAACCUGGGGUACCAGUUCAAGUGCUACCACUUAUUAACUCCUAGUAUCCUCAGUUGUAAGCGGGUCAUAGUGAGGACUGUAUGAAAUAACGCAGUGUGAAAUGCUUAGCACAUAGUUAAUCACUCCGUAAAUAUAUUAGCAGCUAUAUGGCAUUAUUUUCAUUAUAGUAACACCGUCACUAUUCCACCCUGGAACCUGACUAAAGGCUUAGCAUAUAUUCAGUUUCCAAAUUGUCCCUAUUUACAAACAACAGCAUAUACAUAUCUUCAUUUCUAUUUUUAUCACCCCUCCCCAUAGACACACACACACACACACACACACACACACACACACCAUUCGAUAAUUUUUUGUUGGACUGAAUUAAGUAAUUUCUACCAGUGAUUAUAUCAGGUACUGUGGUCACUGUACAUGGCUGGAGAGAUGCCGGAAUGGGCUUCUGUAUUCCUAUGUAAUCAAAGUUCUAACAACUGAUAGAAGGGCAUUUUUUAUUCCAAUAAAACUGAUACUUAGGUUUACCUAAAUUUCUGUGAGGGAAUCCCUGCAUUCAUAAA
This is a long non-coding RNA of Leopardus geoffroyi (Geoffroy's cat), 10652 nucleotides long. RefSeq lists it as uncharacterized. The record is from RefSeq and is a predicted model, not a curated record. NCBI's taxonomy places the organism in Eukaryota, Metazoa, Chordata, Mammalia, Carnivora, Felidae. The transcript is spliced from 3 exons.